GUUCAUUAUAGAAGUAUAAAACUUUCUCAGGGUUCACUAGACCAAGACCGUUCUUUAUCAAGCUGCUCAAAGCAUCAUCAGGUUCCUGUGACUCAGUCCCGGGAGAUGAAACUGGGAAAGAUAACUUGGAUUCAUAGUGUUCCAUCCCAGGGACCCCGGGUCUCACACCGCCCCAGUAACCAGCAAGUGCAUGCCACAUGUACACAUACUUCAAAUUGUGUUGGUCUUUGAUAUUGGUAACAACAUGUCGAAGUCCCAUUGCAGGAUCGUUAACCCUAUGACCUUCUUUUCCAUUUUUCUGAAACUUAUGGUUCUCUUUGAUAUGAGUUAACCUGUUAGCAAAGUUUGCAUGGUUAUCAGCAAUGGAUUCGAUACCAUCGGGAUCCAUACUCACUGAUUGCCAUCCAUCAUCAAUGAGUACAAACUUUGGGGGAAUACCUCCUUUCUCCAAACUCUCUAACCCUUGCUUCACUCCCUCUGAAGUAACGGUAGUAUAGAAAGCAUCCC
This 507-nucleotide unclassified non-coding RNA is filed under the name Hevea brasiliensis (rubber tree). The record is from RNAcentral. Lineage: Eukaryota; Viridiplantae; Streptophyta; Magnoliopsida; Malpighiales; Euphorbiaceae.